GGAUUCCCAUGUUGCACAAGGUGUACGUAGCCACAACCCAACUCAUGUUGCUGACAAACCUACACAACAAACACGAGGUUCUAAAAGGGUUGUGGCCCCUGAUGUUCAUGGACAACAGAUUAGAUUCACUAGGCAAAGGAGUGCUGCCAUAAAUCAACAAUCCUCCCUAAGCCUAACUACUACUACACAAGCUGGUUCAAGAGCCACCACAAACCAAGAAUCGACCCAAAACUUGGCUGCUGCAACACAAUUUACUUCAAGUGUUGCCACUGAGCAAGAUUACACCGCAGGCCUGGCUA
Molecule: unclassified non-coding RNA, 299 nt
Filed under: Zea mays
Lineage: Eukaryota; Viridiplantae; Streptophyta; Magnoliopsida; Poales; Poaceae
Description: misc RNA Zm00001eb249180
Source: RNAcentral